This is a long non-coding RNA of Cydia pomonella (codling moth), 1001 nucleotides long. RefSeq lists it as uncharacterized. Lineage: Eukaryota; Metazoa; Arthropoda; Insecta; Lepidoptera; Tortricidae. The transcript has 2 exons. The record is from RefSeq and is a predicted model, not a curated record.
CCCUCUUGAUUGUUAACAAACUAAUGAGAAAGUUGCAUUUUAUCCACAUGUGAGCAAAGUACUCAGAUGCAAAUUUUGAGUUAAGUAUUUCCUAGUGUUAGCUGGUAGAAUUGACUUUUAAAUUAUGUUUUUCAAUGAUUUUUUUUAUUACGUUCAUUUGGAUUUGAUUUGGUUUAAUUUUUUUUGGUAUUUCUUAGUAUUUUCCUCGCGUUGGUGUGGUGUAAAAUGUUGUUUCUCUCGGAGGCAAAGUUUGUUUAAGCCUCGCAACGCUCAAGAUUCCACUUCUCGAACCAUUCGCUACGCUCGUGGUUCAAUUUUGGAAUCUUGCGCUUGCUCAGGUAUCAAUAUUAGCUCGAGCGGUUAGAGAACAACUUUGCCUCCUUGGAAAACAAUAACCAUUUACGUAAACGGCAAAUCUAAAAAAAAGGCAUACAAAACUUCUUGACUGCGGUGUCCGUUGACACAAAAGAAACAUAACUGUCAUGGCAGUGUGUGCUAAUGAAAGAAUCAGUGUCAAUGAAUGUUAUACGUUUAAAUUAUUUACUGAUUCAACGUUUUGCCUACUGGUUUUACAACAGUGCAUGUGAUAUAGGUAAUCGAGUAAUAUCAUCUCAUAAAUAACAUAAGUGUGAAAUGAGAGCCAAGUUGGUUAUUCCCACGAGUUACCACCAAGUUGUUACUAGUGGUAAAAGGUGGGAAAAAAUUCCCAGUAGUUACCGCUGGUUAGAACUUCGCCGACAAAAGAAUUGAGAUCAUGGGUGCAAAGUUCUGUGUAGAAAAUCAUUUUUACAACGCAUUUAUUUUACUUGGGAUGAAAUUUAAGUUCAAGAUGUGACUUCGCUAUUACAGCAAGAAACAACCCAGCCCAGGACAACAACGCUGGCAGUUUCGCGGUAUUUAGCGAAACCGUAUGGGGUAAGGAACGGAACGGCAAUGUUUUUGAUAUCGUCCAAAUUAAUUAUGAUAACGUUUAUCUAAAAUACAAUGAAAUAAAGAAUAAA